GUGUCUGUGUGUGUGUGUGUCUGUGUGUGUGUGUCUGUGUGUGUGUGUCUCUGUGUGCGUGCGACCGCGCGCGUGUGUGUGUGUGUGUCUGUGUGUGCGCGUCUGUGUGUGUGGAGUGCGAGUCAGGGGUGUCCGUGUGUGAGGCGCCAGCCAUCUUCCCCUCCCUACACGUUGAUCUUAUUCGAUCGGCCGGGCCUCGCCGGGCCGAGGUGAGAAGAAAGUGCCGCGAAGCCCUCGGGCGCUGUGCGGCUGGGCCGGGCGGGAUGAGUCGAUCAGAUAGGCGAGGCCACGGCCGCUGAGCGCCCUGCGAUUCUGACCCGC
RNAcentral lists this small nucleolar RNA (321 nucleotides) under Chloebia gouldiae (Gouldian finch). Its description in RNAcentral is "Erythrura gouldiae (Gouldian finch) Small Cajal body-specific RNA 2 (ENSEGOG00005014473.1)". It matches the Rfam family "Small Cajal body-specific RNA 2". The record is from Rfam by way of RNAcentral. Lineage: Eukaryota; Metazoa; Chordata; Aves; Passeriformes; Passeridae.